This 7384-nucleotide long non-coding RNA is filed under the name Citrus x clementina. Its description in RNAcentral is "Citrus clementina (C. clementina) long non-coding RNA (CCLE_LNC003148)". The record is from RNAcentral. Lineage: Eukaryota; Viridiplantae; Streptophyta; Magnoliopsida; Sapindales; Rutaceae.
CAAGGGGCCUCCGUGUGCCAAAAAUAGGCCGCGGGCAAAGCCGCGCCCAAAAUUAACCGCCCGAAGGCCGGGGCGCCAAGUUCGUCCAGCGGAAAAAGGCCACAAAAACGGGUGGGCUAUAGCCUUGGGGGGUGGGGCUGGCCAACUUCGUCCGCCGGACUCGGAAUGCCGUGAGACUUUGCGAGGGGCCUCCGUGUGCCAAAAAUAGGCCGUGGACAAAGCCCCGUCCGAAGGCCGGCGCGCCAAGUUCGUCAAGCGGAAAAAGGCCACAAAAACGGGUGGGCUAUAGCCUUGGGGGGUGGGGCUGGCCAACUUCGUCCGCCGGACUCGGAAUGCCGCGAGACUUUGCGAGGGGCCUCCGUGUGCCAAAAAUAGGCUGCGGACAAAGCCGCGCCCAAAAAUAACCGCCCGAAGGCCGGGGCGCCAAGUUCGUCCAGCGGAAAAAGGCCACAAAAACGGGUGGGCUAUAGCCUUGGGGGGUGGGGCUGGCCAACUUCGUCCGCCGGACUCGGAAUGCCGCGAGAAUUUGCGAGGGGCCUCCGUGUGCCAAAAAUAGGCCGCGGACAAAGCCGCGCCCAAAAAAUACCGCCCGAAGGCCGGGGCGCCAAGUUCGUCCAGCGGAAAAAGGCCACAAAAACGGGUGGGCUAUAGCCUUGGGGGGUGGGGCUGGCCGACUUCGUCCGCCGGACUCGGAAUGCCGCGGGACUUUGCGAGGGGCCUCCGAGUGCCAAAAAUAGGCCGCGGGCAAAGCCGCGCCCAAAAAUAACCGCCCGAAGGCCGGGGCGCCAAGUUCGUCCAGCGGAAAAAGGCCACAAAAACGGGUGGGCUAUAGCCUUGGGGGGUGGGGCUGGCCAACUUUGUCCGCCGGACUCGGAAUGCCGCGUGACUUUGCAAGGGGCCUCCGUGUGCCAAAAAUAGGCCGCGGACAAAGCCGCGCCCAAAAUUAACCGCCCGAAGGCCGGGGCGCCAAGUUCGUCCAGCGGAAAAAGGCCACAAAAACGGGUGGGCUAUAGCCUGGGGGGUGGGGCUGGCCAACUUCAUCCGCCGGACUCGGAAUGCCGCGAGACUUUGCGAGGGGCCUCCGUGUGCCAAAAAUAGGCCGCGGGCAAAGCCACUCCCAAAAAUAACCGGUCGAAGGCCGGGGCGCCAAGUUCGUCCAGCGGAAAAAGGCCACAAAAACGGGUGGGCUAUGGCCUUGGGGGGUGGGGCUGGCCAACUUCGUCCGCCGGACUCGGAAUGGCGUGAGACUUUACGAGGGGCCUCCGUGUGCCUAAAAUAGGCCCCGGCCGAAGCCGCGGCCAAAAAUAACCACCUGACGGCCGGGGCACGAAGUUCGUCCAGCGGAAAAAGGCCACAAAAACGGGUGGGCUAUAGCCUUGGGGGGUGGCGCUGGCCAACUUCGUCCGCCGGACUCAGAAUGCCGCGACACUUUGUGAGGGGCCUCCGGGUGCCAAAAAUAGGCCGUCGGCAAAGCCGCACCCAAAAAUAACCGCCCGACGGCCGGGGCGCCAAGUUCAUCCAGCGGAAAAAGUCCACAAAAACGGGUGGGCUAUAGCCUUGGGGGGUGGGGCUGGCCAACUUCGUCUGCCGGACUCGGAAUGCCGCGAGACUUUGCGAGGGGCCUCUGUGUGCCAAAAAUAGGCCGCGGGCAAAGCCGCGCCCAAAAAUAACCCCCCGAAGGCCGGUCGCCAAGUUCGUCCAGCGGAAAAUGGCCGCAAAAACGGGUGGUGUCAUGACCCAACCCAGACCUGGCAAGAUAUUGUCCGCUUUGGGCCUUAACAAGGCCCGCACGGAUUUGUUCUUGGGGCGCCCAUACACCCCAACACGCGUCUUGCCAAUUAAGGUGUGGAUCACCCCUUAUAAACCCAGCAUCUCUCCCGUGCUUUGCCGAUGUGGGAUUCGCCUAGGGUGUUACAUACACCCCCCCCUUGGGGACUCAGCCUUCUUGCUGAGGAUUGCCCCACCAUCGCUCAAGAGGACACGCGGAGCCGCUCUGAUACCAUAAUGUCAUGACCCAACCCAGACCUGGCAAGAUAUUGUCCGCUUUGGGCCUUAACAAGGCCCGCACGGAUUUGUUCUUGGGGCACCCAUACACCCCCUAACGCGUCUUGCCAUUUAAGGUGUGGAUCACCCCUUAUAAACCCAGCAUCUCUCCCGUGCUUUGCCGAUGUGGGAGUCGCCUAGGGUGUUACAUACACCCCCCCUUUGGGGACUCAGCGUCCUCGCUGAGGUUUGCCCCACCAUCGCUCAAGAGGACACGCGGAGCCGCUCUGAUACCACAAUGUCAUGACCCAACCCAGACUUGACAAGAUAUUGUCCGCUUUGGGACUUAACAAGGCCCGCACGGAUUUGUUCUUGGGGGGCACAUACACCCCAAAACGCGUCUUGCCAAUUAAGGUGUGGAUCACCCCUUAUAAACCCAGCAUCUACAAUGUCAUGGCCCAACCCAGACCUGACAAGAUAUUGUCCGCUUUGGGCCAUAACAAGGCCCGCACGGAUUUGUUCUUGGGGCGCCCAUACACAAAAAAAUGCGUCUUGCCAAUUAAGGUGUGGAUCACCCCUUAUAAACCCAGCAGCUCUCCCGUGCUUUGCCGAUGUGGGAUUCGCCUAGGGUGUUACAUACACCCCCCCUUUGGGGACUCAGCGUCCUCGCUGAGGUUUGCCCCACCAUCGCUCAAGAGGACACGCGGAGCCGCUCCGAUACCACAAUGUCAUGACCCAACCCAGACCUGACAAGAUAUUGUCCGCUUUGGGCCUUAACAAGGGCCGCACGGAUUUGUUCUUGGGGCGCCCAUACACCCCAAAACGCGUCUUGCCAAUUAAAGUGUGGAUCACCACUUAUAAACCCAGCAUCUCUCCCGUGCUUUGCCGAUGUGGGAUUCGCCUAGGGUGUUACAAGUGGGCUAUAGCUUUGGGGGGUGGGGCUGGCCAACUUCGUCCGCCGGAUUCGGAAUACCGCGAGACUUUGCGAGGGGCCUCUGUGUGCCAAAAAUAGGCCGCGGGCAAAGCCGCGCCCAAAAAUAACCCCCCGAAGGCCGGGGCGCCAAGUUCGUCCAGCGGAAAAAGGCCACAAAAACGGGUGGGCUAUAGCCUUGGGGGGUGGGGCUGGCCGAAUUCAUCCGCCGGACUCGGAAUGCCGCGAGACUUUGCGAGGGGCCUCCGUGUGCCAAAAAUAGGCCGCGGGCAAAGCCGCGCCCAAAAAUAACCCCCCGAAGGCCGGAACGCCAAGUUCGUCCGGCGGAAAAAGGCCACAAAAACGGGUGGGCGAUAGCCUUGGGGGGUGGGGCUGGCCGAAUUCAUCCGCCGGACUCGGAAUGCCGCGAGACUUUGCGAGGGGCCUCCGUGUGCCAAAAAUAGGCCGCGGACAAAGCCGCGCCAAAAAAUAACCGCCCGAAGGCCGGGGCGCCAAGUUCGUCCAGCGGAAAAAGGCCACUAAAACGGGUGGGCUAUAGCCGUGGGGGGUGGGGCUGGCGCACUUCGUCCGCCAGACUCGGAAUGCCGCGAGACUUUGCGAGGGGCCUCCGUGUGCCAAAAAUAGGCCACGGGAAAAGCCGCUCCCAAAAAUAACCGCUCGAAGGCCGGGGCGCCAAGUUCGUCCAGCGGAAAAAGGCCACAAAAACGGGUGGGCUAUAGCCUUGGGGGGUGGGGCUGGCCAACUUCGUCCGACGGACUCGGAAUGCCGCGAGACUUUGUGAGGGGCCUCUGUGUGGCAAAAAUAGGCCACGGGCAAAGCCGCGCCCAAAAAUAACCGCCCGAGGGCCGGGGCGCCAAGUUCGUCCAGCGGAAAAAGGCUACAAAAACGGGUGGGCUAUAGCCUUGGGGGGUGGGGCUGGCCAACUUCGUCCGCCGGACUCGGAAUGCCGCGAGACUUUGCGAGGGGCCUCCGUGUGCCAAAAAUAGGCCGCGGGCAAAGUCGCGCCCAAAAAUAACCCCCCGAAGGCUGGGGCGCCAAGUUCGUCCAGCGGAAAAAGGCCACAAAAACGGGUGGGCUAUAGCCUUGGGGGGUGGGGCUGGCCGAAUUCGUCCAGCGGGAAAAGGCCACAAAAACGGGUGGGCUAUAGCCUUGGGGGGUGGGGCUUGGCAACUUCGUCCGCCGGACUCGGAAUGCCGCGAGACUUUACGAGGGGUCUCCGUGUGCCAAAAAUAGGCCGCGGGCAAAGCCGCGCCCAAAAAUAACUGCCCGAAGGCCGGGGCGCCAAGUUCGUCCAGCGGAAAAAUGCCACAAAAACGGGUGGGCUAUAGCCUAGGGGGGUGAUGCUGGCCAACUUCGUCCGCCGGACUCGGAAUGCCGCGAGACUUUGUGAGGGGCCUCCGCGUGCUAAAAAAAGGCCGCGGGUAAAGCCGCACCCAAAAUUAACCGCCCGACGGCCGGGGCGCCAAGUUCGUCCAGCGGAAAAAGGCCACAAAAACGGGUGGGCUAUAGCCUUGGGGGGUGAUGCUGGCCAACUUCGUCUUCCGGACUCGAAAUGCCGCGAGACUUUGCGAGGGGCCUCCGCAUGCCAAAAAAAGGCCGCGGGCAAAGUCGCGCCCAAAAUUAACCGCCCGAAGGCCGGGGCGCCAAGUUCGUCCAGUGGAAAAAGGCCACAAAAACGGGUGGGCUAUAGCCUUGGGGGGUGGGGCUGGCCAACUUCAUCCGCCGGACUCGCAAUGCCGCGAGACUUUGCGAGGGGCCUCCGUGUGCCAAAAAUAGGCCGCGGGCGAUGCCACACCCAAAAAUAACCGCCCGACGGCCGGGGCGCCAAGUUCGUCCAGCGGAAAAAGGCCACAAAAACGGGUGGGCUAUAGCCUUGGGGGGUGAUGCUGGCCAACUUCGUCCGCCGGACUCGGAAUGCCGCGAGACUUUGCGAGGGGCCUCCGUGUGCCAAAAAUAGGCCAGUGCCAAAAAUAGGCCACGGCCAAAGCCGCGCCCAAAAUUAACCGCCCCAAGGCCGGGGCGCCAAGUUCGUCCAGCGGAAAAAGGCCACAAAAACGGGUGGCCUAUAGCCUUGGGGGGUGGGGCUGGCCGACUUCGUCCGACGGACUCGGAAUGCCGUGAGAGUUUACGAGGGGCCUCCGUGUGCCAAAAAUAGGCCACGGGCAAAGCCGCGCCCAAAAAUAACCGCCCGACGGCCGGGGCGCCAAGUUCGUCCUGCGGAAAAAGGCCACAAAAACGGGUGGGCUAUAGCCUUGGGGGGUGAUGCUGGCCAACUUCGUCCGCCGGACUCGGAAUGCCGCGAGACUUUGCGAGGGGCCUCCUUGUGCCUAAACUAGGCCGCGGGCAAAGCCACGCCAAAAAUUAACCACCCGAAGGCCGGGGCGCCAAGUUCGUCCAGCGGAAAAAGGCCACGAAAACGGGUGGCCUAUAGCCUUGGGGGGUGGGGCUGGCCAACUUCGUCCGCCGGACUCGGAAUGCCGCUAGACUUUGCGAGGGGCCUCCAUGUGCCAAAACUAGGCCUCGGGCAAAGCCGCACCCAAAAUUAACCGCCCGAAGGCCGGGGCACCAAGUUCGUCCAGCGGAAAAAGGCCACAAAAACGGGUGGGCUAUAGCCUUGGCGGGUGAUGCUGGCAAACUUCGUCCGCAGGACUCGGAAUGCCGCGAGACUUUGCGAGGGGCCUCCGCGUGCCAAAAAUAAGCCGCGGACGAAGCCGCGCCCAAAAUUAACCGCCCGAAGGCCGCGGCGCCAAGUUCGUCCAGCGGAAAAAGGCCACAAAAACGGGUGGCCUAUAGCCUUGGGGGGUGGGGCUGGCCAACUUCGUCCGCCGGACUCGGAAUGCCGCGAGACUUUGCGAGGGGCCUCCGUGUGCCAAAAAUAGGCUGCGGGCAAAGCCGCGCCCAAAAUUAACCGCCCGAAGGCCGGGGCGCCAACUUCGUCCAGCGGAAAAAGGCCACAAAAACGGGUGGGCUUAGCCUUGGGGGGUGAUGCUGGCCAACUUCGUCCGCAGGACUCGGAAUGCCGCGAGACUUUGCGAGGGGCCUCCGUGUGCUAAAAAUAGGCCGUGGGNNNNNNNNNNNNNNNNNNNNNNNNNNNNNNNNNNNNNNNNNNNNNNNNNNNNNNNNNNNNNNNNNNNNNNNNNNNNNNNNNNNNNNNNNNNNNNNNNNNNNNNNNNNNNNNNNNNNNNNNNNNNNNNNNNNNNNNNNNNNNNNNNNNNNNNNNNNNNNNNNNNNNNNNNNNNNNNNNNNNNNNNNNNNNNNNNNNNNNNNNNNNNNNNNNNNNNNNNNNNNNNNNNNNNNNNNNNNNNNNNNNNGCCACAAAACAAGUGGGCUAUAGCUUGGGGGUUGAUGCUGGCCAAACUCGUCCUCCGGACUCGGAAUGCCGCGAGACUUGCGAGGGGCCUCCGCGUGCCAAAAAUAGGCCGCGGGUAAAGCCGCGCCCCAAAAUAACCGCCCGACGGCCGGGGCGCCAAGUUCGUCCAGCGGAAAAAGGCCACAAAAACGGGCGGGCUAUAGCCUAGGGGGGUGAUGCUGGCCAUCUUCGUCCGCCGGACUUCGAAUGCCGCGAGACUUUGCGAGGGGCCUCUGUGUGGCAACAAUAGACCGUGGGCAAAGCCGCGCCCAAAUUAACCGCCCGAAGGCCGGGGCGCCAAGUUCGUCCAGCGGAAAAAGGCCUCAAAAACGGGUGGGCAAUAGCCUUGGGGAGUGAUGCUUGGCCACUUCGUCCGCCGGACUCGGAAUGCCGCGAGACUUUCCGAGGGGCCUCCAUGUGCAAAAAAUAGGCCGUGGGUGAAGCCACACCCAAAAAUAACCGCCCGACGGCCGGGGCGCCAAGUUCGUCCAGCGGAAAAAGGCCACAGAAACGGGUGGGCUAUAGCCUUGGGGGGUGAUGCUGGCCAACUUCGUCCUCCGGACUCGGAAUGCCGCGAGAUUUGCGAGGGGCCUCCGCGUGCCAAAAAUAAGCCGCGGGCAAAGCCGCGUCCAAAAUUAACCGCCCAAAGGCCGCGGCGCCAGUUCGUCCAGAGGAAAAAGGCCACAAAAACGGGUGGGCUAUAGCCUUGGGGGGUGGCGCUGGCCAACUUCGUCCGCCGGACUCGGAAUGCCGCGACACUUUGCGAGGGGCCUCCGUGUACCAAAAAUAGGCCGUGGGCAAAGCCGCGCCCAAAAUUAACUGCCCGAAGGCCGGGGCGCCAAGUUCGUCCAGCGGAAAAAGGCCACAAAAACGGGUGGGCAAUAGCCUUGGGGAGUGAUGCAGGCCAACUUCGUCCGCCGGACUCAGAAUGCCGCGAGACUUUGCGAGGGGCCUCCGUGUGCCAAAAAUAGGCCACAGGCGAAGCCACGCCCAAAAUUAACCGCCCGAAGGCCGGGGCGCCAUGUUCGUCCAGCGGAAAAAGGCCACAAAAACGGGUGGGCUAUAGCCUUGGGGGGUGAUGCUGGCCAACUUCGUCCGCCGGACUCGGAAUGCCGCGAGAC